RNAcentral lists this ribosomal RNA (501 nucleotides) under uncultured Bacteroides sp. Its description in RNAcentral is "bacterial SSU rRNA". It matches the Rfam family "Bacterial small subunit ribosomal RNA", at positions 398 to 899 of the family's 1533-position model. Lineage: Bacteria; Pseudomonadati; Bacteroidota; Bacteroidia; Bacteroidales; Bacteroidaceae. The record is from RNAcentral.
AGCGUGAAGGAUGACUGCCCUAUGGGUUGUAAACUUCUUUUAUAAGGGAAUAAAGUGAGGGACGUGUCCCUUUUUGUAUGUACCUUAUGAAUAAGGAUCGGCUAACUCCGUGCCAGCAGCCGCGGUAAUACGGAGGAUCCGAGCGUUAUCCGGAUUUAUUGGGUUUAAAGGGAGCGUAGGUUGACAUAUAAGUCAGCUGUGAAAGUUUACGGCUCAACCGUGAAAUUGCAGUUGAUACUGUAUGUCUUGAGUGUACAAGAGGUGGGCGGAAUUCGUGGUGUAGCGGUGAAAUGCUUAGAUAUCACGAAGAACUCCAAUUGCGAAGGCAGCUCACUGGGGUACAACUGACACUGAGGCUCGAAAGUGUGGGUAUCAAACAGGAUUAGAUACCCUGGUAGUCCACACAGUAAACGAUGAAUACUCGCUGUUUGCGAUAUACAGUAAGCGGCCAAGCGAAAGCAUUAAGUAUUCCACCUGGGGAGUACGCCGGCAACGGUGAAA